RNAcentral lists this transfer RNA (87 nucleotides) under candidate division WWE3 bacterium RIFCSPLOWO2_01_FULL_41_9. Its description in RNAcentral is "tRNA-Leu". It matches the Rfam family "tRNA". From Rfam's summary of the family: Transfer RNA (tRNA) molecules are approximately 80 nucleotides in length. Their secondary structure includes four short double-helical elements and three loops (D, anti-codon, and T loops). The record is from RNAcentral. Lineage: Bacteria; candidate division WWE3.
GCCGAAGUGGAGGAAUUGGCAGACUCGCAGUCUUCAGAAGGCUGUUCUCGUAAGAGAGUGUGGGUUCAAGUCCCACCUUCGGCACCA